This 362-nucleotide long non-coding RNA is filed under the name Rattus norvegicus (Norway rat). RNAcentral describes it as "long non-coding RNA NONRATT013564". The record is from RNAcentral. Lineage: Eukaryota; Metazoa; Chordata; Mammalia; Rodentia; Muridae.
GGCUUUUGUGGCCUGGAAAUAAUUGGCCACUUUUCCCCAUACUUUACCUUCUUCCAAUCUUGCAGGCUUCUGAAGCAUCUAUGGCUGAGGCCUGGCAGGACUGCCCAGCCCUGGGCCCUGGCUGGAAACGCCGAGAGGCCUUUCGAAAGUCAGGGGCCUCGUGUGGACGCUCAGACAUCUAUUAUCGGAGGUAACGGGUGGGCUGUGGACAGCGUUCAGUGGAGUUGGACAUCGUUAGUAAUUAAAGGGGGUGGUGUGUUUAAAUCUAUGGAUGUGGUUAAAGUUGUGCACAUAGUCCUUGUUAAAAGUUUUGUGUUUUCUUAAUCACCUAUUCUUAAUAAAGUUUAUUUGAUCAAAGUCGA